Molecule: non-coding RNA, 73 nt
Organism: Fusarium proliferatum ET1
Lineage: Eukaryota; Fungi; Ascomycota; Sordariomycetes; Hypocreales; Nectriaceae
Source: the annotation of a RefSeq genome assembly
GCCGGCGUGGCCUAAUGGCUAAGGCGUCUGACUGUAAAUCAGAAGAUCGGGAGUUCGACCCUCCCCGUUGGCU